GAAGGGUUCUCAACUUUGGGGUAGACGUAUCUCCUGUGGUAGACUACUGGAGAGGAAUUCUGUGGAUACGUGACAGGUAAUACAAUAGUCACUCUUGCUAGUUUUCUAUAGAUCGCGUCGUUUCUCACGCGUACGAAACAGGUACCGUCAUCACAAGCACGACUGUUAACACGCAGAUAUCAAAAGAUUUCCUUCUCUCGUGUGUCAUACUUUGAAGGUUUCGAGCAUGGAGAAUUGUUAAAUCAAGAGCAGGUACCGUCAUCACAAAUAAGACAUCAGAAAAUUUCCUUCUCUCGUGUGCCAUGCCUUGAAAGGUGGUGAAGUAGAAGUGGCUGGACACUGGAGUAUGGAAGAAUCAUCUAAAAUUUUUAAGUCUCCUCUCAGGGAAAUCAGUCGGUCGGGAAAAGCUUCUCUCAGGAAUCCCAUUGAAAUGCGUGCAAUGUGGGCUGUGGCCCCAUCUUGCUGGAACCACACGUUUCCAUUAUCCAGGUCCAUAUUAAUGAGAGCAGGCAUAGAAAAAACUCCCUGAGCAUUGUCACAUAGCGUUCUGAAGUCACUGUUACGGCACCACCGUUUUCUUGGAAAAAGUAAGGGCCAAUGAUCCCUACUCUUGACACUUAAACUGGCCUGCGCGCUCACCUGAUUUAGCCCCCUGUGAUUAUUUCCUGUGGGGAU
Long non-coding RNA from Portunus trituberculatus (swimming crab), 675 nucleotides. RefSeq lists it as uncharacterized. NCBI's taxonomy places the organism in Eukaryota, Metazoa, Arthropoda, Malacostraca, Decapoda, Portunidae. The record is from RefSeq and is a predicted model, not a curated record. The transcript has 3 exons.